AAAAAAACCAAAAAAACUCUUUCAACUCUCUCCCUCCCCUCCAAGUCUGGCCUUGGGCUCCGGUCGCCAGACCGUCGGUCAUCGGCAAUGGCGCCGCCGUCUAUGGUGGCCGAAAAAUAAAAAAAAAGGUUCCUUUUUUAAGCCCUUCGCCUUCUCGAGCCUAGAUCUGAGGGUAAAAAUACUCGAAUAACCCACCAAAAUUUAAAAAAGAGAGAAGAAAAAAAACAAAAAGAAAAUAAAUCAAGAGACCCAAAACGACAGGUAAAAUUCUGAUUUUUAGUUGUUGUUUUUUUCAUUUU
RNAcentral lists this long non-coding RNA (299 nucleotides) under Gossypium raimondii (Peruvian cotton). RNAcentral's name for it is "long non-coding RNA (GRAI_LNC002093)". The record is from RNAcentral. Lineage: Eukaryota; Viridiplantae; Streptophyta; Magnoliopsida; Malvales; Malvaceae.